Molecule: ribosomal RNA, 494 nt
Filed under: uncultured bacterium
Lineage: Bacteria
Description: partial 16S ribosomal RNA
Rfam family: Bacterial small subunit ribosomal RNA
Source: RNAcentral
GACGAACGCUGGCGGCGUGCUUAACACAUGCAAGUCGAACGGUGAAGCGCCUUCCUUUUUGGUGGGUGUGGAUGAGUGGCGAACGGGUGAGUAACACGUGAGUAACCUGCCCCCUUCUUCUGGAUAACCGCAUGAAAGUGUGGCUAAUACGGGAUAUUCUGGGUCUGUCGCAUGAUGGGUCUGGGAAAGAUAUUGUUUCGGUGGGGGAUGGGCUCGCGGCCUAUCAGCUUGUUGGUGGGGUGAUGGCCUACCAAGGCGGGGACGGGUAGCCGGCCUGAGAGGGUGGACGGUCACACUGGGACUGAGACACGGCCCAGACUCCUACGGGAGGCAGCAGUGGGGAAUAUUGCACAAUGGGCGCAAGCCUGAUGCAGCGACGCCGCGUGAGGGAUGGAGGCCUUCGGGUUGUGAACCUCUUUCGCCAGUGAAGCAGGCCUGCCUCGUUUGUGGGUGGGUUGACGGUAGCUGGAUAAGAAGCGCCGGCUAACUACGUG